AUCAUUUUAAUCAAAUAUCUUCUCUCUUUUUUUUUUUCAACUACCACUUUUACAUGUAUUUUCGAAAAGGGUUUAAAUGGGUUAUUAUUAUUAUUAUUAUUAUUAUUAUUAUUAUAAAUGAAAGUAAAAACGUAUGCUUGUGUGGUUGGACUUAAAGAGGGGAAAAAGGUAUAGCUUGAAAUGGAAAUAGUGGAAGAGAUGCUGACAACAUUUUGUGAUUGAUGGUUUGGUGAUAAACAGGAGGAGGAAAAUGAGGGUAGAAGAGAAAAGCAAGUCAAAGAAAUUAGGCAGGGCCAAGAACUCCAAAAAGACGUCUGCACACUGCACCAUCCUCUAAAAUCGCCCACCGAAUACCCUGAAUGCAAGGAACAAUGGAGGAGGCGUUCUAGCAUGAGCUCAGAAGCAGGCAAGGUUGAUGGCAAUAAAAGAAGCUGCAGAAGAGGGCACAUACAUUGUUGAUGAAUGUUUAUUCCUCUAAUUGGCAAAACAACUCAUGCUUCUUCUCUUUUUCACCCUAUGUCGUAUGUAUUUGCAGAAUAACAAAUUGAAAAAAUUGAACUUCUACUUGACAUGCUAUGAAAUUAUACAACCUAUUAUAGCUGGGAGAAAAGCAUCAAA
Molecule: long non-coding RNA, 618 nt
Organism: Vitis riparia (riverbank grape)
Lineage: Eukaryota; Viridiplantae; Streptophyta; Magnoliopsida; Vitales; Vitaceae
Exons: 2
Source: RefSeq, a predicted model, not a curated record